Molecule: small nucleolar RNA, 107 nt
Organism: Dioscorea cayenensis subsp. rotundata (Guinea yam)
Lineage: Eukaryota; Viridiplantae; Streptophyta; Magnoliopsida; Dioscoreales; Dioscoreaceae
Source: RefSeq, a predicted model, not a curated record
AACCCAUGUUGAGGACAUUUCCAUAAGAGAUCCUUGAACUUUCCCAAUGUCUCAAAGAGAAACUCCAAUUACAUUUGCACAAAGGAAGAUAUCUUAUUCCUAUGCUU